GAACGCUGGCGGCGUGCUUAACACAUAGCAAGUCGAACGCGAAAGGGACUUCGGUCCUGAGUAAAGUGGCGCACGGGUGAGUAACGCGUGGAUAAUCUGCCCUUAUGAUCGGGAUAACAGUUGGAAACGGCUGCUAAUACCGGAUACGCUCAAAAUGAACUUUUUGAGGAAAGAUGGCCUCUGCUUGCAUGCUAUCACGUAAGGAUGAGUCCGCGUCCCAUUAGCUUGUUGGCGGGGUAACGGCCCACCAAGGCAACGAUGGGUAGCCGAUUUGAGAGGAUGAUCGGCCACACUGGAACUGAAACACGGUCCAGACUCCUACGGGAGGCAGCAGUGGGGAAUAUUGCGCAAUGGGCGAAAGCCUGACGCAGCGACGCCGCGUGAGGGAUGAAAAGGUUUUCGGAUCGUAAACCUCUGUCAGAAGGGAAGAAACUACGUUGUGCUAAUCAGCAGCGUACUGACGGUACCUUCAAAGGAAGCACCGGCUAACUCCGUGCCAGCAGCUGC
This 507-nucleotide ribosomal RNA is filed under the name uncultured bacterium. RNAcentral describes it as "bacterial SSU rRNA". It matches the Rfam family "Bacterial small subunit ribosomal RNA", at positions 31 to 518 of the family's 1533-position model. The record is from RNAcentral.